RNAcentral lists this ribosomal RNA (978 nucleotides) under Triticum aestivum (bread wheat). RNAcentral describes it as "partial small subunit ribosomal RNA". The record is from RNAcentral. Lineage: Eukaryota; Viridiplantae; Streptophyta; Magnoliopsida; Poales; Poaceae.
AUGUCAUCCUCCGCCCCAAAGCAGCCAGUGACAAGGCCUACAACUGCUGAUGACGCACCACCGGUUCAGAUGCCGGCCGCUGAAGCAGCGGGGGGAGACCCAGCUGCAGCACAUGCUCAGCAGACCAACCUGGUGGAACAGACUGCUAAGCAGUCUGAUGCUUCGGAACCGCCUGCUAAGCAGUUUGUAGGUCCAGAACCGACUGCUCAUCAGUCCGUCUGUCCGCAGGCGCGUGAUCAACAUACCAAUGCGUCAACACUUCCUACUCAGCAAACCAACACAUUGGCACGGCCUCCUCAGCACACCGACAAGUGGGCACCACCUGCGCAGAAACCCGACAUAGCUUCAACGCAUGGUCAGCAGUUCGAUGCCUCUGCUCCUAUAGCCCAGCAGUCCGUCACAGCAGCACUGCCAGCUCAGCGGUUCGUCAUAUAUAAACCGUCUGCUAAGCAAUCCGUCCAAGCUUCACCGUCUGCUCGGCAGUCUACCUUGCAGGCAACCAGACGUUCUGCCAGAAAUGCUUCAAGUACUAAGAAGGACGUGGCCAAAAAGGCUACACCCACGACCACGAGGAAGCGCGGCGGGAGAGUGAAGAGGAAAGAGAACGAUUGCCUCUUACUUAAAGCACUCAUCGCCCAGAACCAAAUUAACAGCAGCUUGUUCGAAUCGGGGAGUAAUAUUAUUUCUGACGCCGUGGGUGAUGAAGAAGUACAUUUGUUGCUUCCUAAAAAUAAAGCAGUCAUACUUGAAGCACGCAAUUACGUGCAUGGCCAGCCAUUUCUUGUUGGCGAAUACUUUGAUGAGUGCAGCUCCAGUUGCCGCGAGUUACAUGAAUAUUGCAUGGAUCAAAUGUCAGAAGGUCAUCAUGCUUUGCUAGUCCACUACAAUAGAGAUCAUUUCCGACACGAUGCUGGUUCCAUCAAUGUGAGUUCCGAGGACUUACAUCUCUUCUUCAAGUUCAACGUGCUCGAUGCAUGA